UAGGCCAAAAGCCAACAAGAAAAGUCUCCAAUCUCUGACCGCUAGGAAAAAGGAGACGAAAAACUAAUCUAAUUGCAGCCGGAGAAAACAAAAGCAAAGAAAAGGCGUCUGACCCAAAAGUAGAAAAAGAAAACUAAAGCUAAGGUCUUGAUGACUCAUCCGUGAAUCUGGCUCUGCUUUUCUAUUUUUAGCGCCGCCAGGAGCUAUCAAACGUC
RNAcentral lists this long non-coding RNA (215 nucleotides) under Coffea arabica (coffee). Its description in RNAcentral is "long non-coding RNA (CARA_LNC005119)". The record is from RNAcentral. Lineage: Eukaryota; Viridiplantae; Streptophyta; Magnoliopsida; Gentianales; Rubiaceae.